Molecule: ribosomal RNA, 509 nt
Filed under: Arthrobacter subterraneus
Lineage: Bacteria; Bacillati; Actinomycetota; Actinomycetes; Micrococcales; Micrococcaceae
Description: bacterial SSU rRNA
Rfam family: Bacterial small subunit ribosomal RNA
Source: RNAcentral
AGUAACACGUGAGUAACCUGCCCUUGACUCUGGGAUAAGCCUGGGAAACUGGGUCUAAUACUGGAUACGACCUUCCCACGCAUGUGGUGUUGGUGGAAAGCUUUUGUGGUUUUGGAUGGACUCGCGGCCUAUCAGCUUGUUGGUGGGGUAAUGGCCUACCAAGGCGACGACGGGUAGCCGGCCUGAGAGGGUGGACGGCCACACUGGGACUGAGACACGGCCCAGACUCCUACGGGAGGCAGCAGUGGGGAAUAUUGCACAAUGGGCGCAAGCCUGAUGCAGCGACGCCGCGUGAGGGAUGAAGGCCUUCGGGUUGUAAACCUCUUUCAGUAGGGAAGAAGCGAAAGUGACGGUACCUGCAGAAGAAGCGCCGGCUAACUACGUGCCAGCAGCCGCGGUAAUACGUAGGGCGCAAGCGUUAUCCGGAAUUAUUGGGCGUAAAGAGCUCGUAGGCGGUUUGUCGCGUCUGCCGUGAAAGUCCGGGGCUUAACUCCGGAUCUGCGGUGGGU